UAGUAUAUAGAACUUCAUGAUAGUACCGAGGUAAAUGACAUGGCCAACUUUCAUUUUGGACCUGGUGGCUUUGAACUUGAAGAGGACGAAGAUGACUAUGAUGGAUUUGUUUUGGAUAACGAUUAUGGCCAAGCGUUUAAACCCACCCAAAGUGAUCCGGUCAAAACAAACCCAUCGAGUGCUGCCCCAAGAGGUGGCUUCGGACAACCAAGUAAAAAACAGACACCUCAAGAACCAGAGAGGAAGUUCCGAUAUGCUAGUGACCUGAAAAAUGAGGCUGAAACAUUACCUCUCAAUGUUGGUGACUUCCAAAUGGCUAUUGUUAGGGGCCAUGGACAUGUCGUCCAGCAGUAUUUGAGCAACGGGUUCGGGGUGGAUGAAGUACUGAAAAGUGGUUGGACGGGACUUAUGUAUGCAGCCAGCAAUGCAAAUUUGGAAAUCACAUCUCUGUUGCUUGACAAAGGGGCGGAUCCAAACUCUCAUAAAGAUAUGUACACAGUGCUGAUGGCAGCCUGUGGUGCAGGGGGAUACAGUGAGGCAGACGUACUGGCAGUGGUGAACCUGCUGCUAGACAGGGGGGCAGAAGCUUCAGCAUUUGAUAGGUACCACACGACUCCGCUGAUGUACGCUGCCAGAGAGGGGAGACCACUUGUGAUCGAGAGACUCGUGCAAGCAGGGGCCGAUGUGAACAGGCAGGAUAGAAGAGGCCUCACUGGUCUGACAUGGGCUGUAACCAAGGGACACAAGGCGGCAGCCCGAGCGUUGAUGCAGCUGAAAGCAGAUCCCUUAAAGAAACAUGGAGACGGACAGACAGUCAUUGACCUUGCAGAACUGAAUGAUGAUUUAGAGAUGUUGGAGAUCCUCGAGGGCAAGAAAAGGGACUCAACUCUUGUCUCCGCGCCAACUAUACCUGCAGCUCGGCCAAAACCAGUCUCAUCGAGGAGCAGUAACAGUCUGAAGGACAGUUGUGGUACAACCUAUGGGGAGCUGGAGCUGUUCUUAUGUGGACUAGACCUGAGCGGUCUCAUUGACAUGAUUCGAGAUCAGCACAUCGACUUCAACACCUUCCUGAAAAUGAGUGAGGAGGAUCUGAUCAAGAUUGGCAUCUCCCAGCUGGGUGUACGUAAGAAGAUAAUGGACGGUAUACACAGCGUUCACAAGAGGGAGUGGGAGAAGUCCAGCCUGCCUACCCUGCAGUACAACAAGCAGGUGAGUUGCGGAGAAGCCCUGGCUAUUGUAGCUAACAUAUCAAAGCACACAAAGUACAUUACCACCACGAUGGACUACCUCAAGAGCCAGAUCUCCAAAAAUCCCAAGAUACUGGAACAGUUACAGGACGGUACAGGACCCAAGCAGCUUCAGCAGCACACGGUGGACACUCUAACCAAUGUGACCGCCUUACAACACACUCUGGACUCACUGAAGACGAAGUUAACAAACAUGAUAGAGCGCGGGAACUACGACCCUCCUGAUGUUCUUCAUGAUCCCACGCCACCUCAGAAGACCCGACGUUGGUCGUCAAUCUCUGUACUGGUUGGUGUGGUAGUGUCAGGAGUUGUUGUGUGGAGAACUCUUGUGUUGUGGAGAUAUGGGAAUAUACUUCAUGGAAUUACUGGAAAUCGGACGUAAUAUUGGUCAUCAGUGUUGUGUUGCUUUAAGUGAAGUAUUUGCUGAGAGUUAUACAAGCUCCAGUGAUGCCUAAAAUGGAUUUUCACUAUAAAUAGACUUCUUUUAAAAGGAAAAUACCCUUCAACAGGAAAGUGAUGUCCUUGAUUAGCCUCUCAGGCUGCACAGGCUUGUGAUGUCCUUGAUUAGCCUCUCGGGCUGCACAGGCUAAGUGAUGUCAGUGAUAAGCCUCUCAGUGAUGUCCUUGAUUAGCCUCUCGGGCUGCACAGGCUAAUGAUGUCCUUGAUUAGCCUCUCGGGCUGCACAGGCUAGUGAUGUCCUUGAUUAGCCUCUCGGGCUGCACAGGCUAGUGAUGUCCUUGAUUAGCCUCUCGGGCUGCACAGGCUAGUGAUGUCCUUGAUUAGCCUCUCGGGCUGCACAGGCUAGUGAUGUCCUUGAUUAGCCUCUCGGGCUGCACAGGCUAGUGAUGUCCUUGAUUAGCCUCUCGGGCUGCACAGGCUAGUGAUGUCCUUGAUUAGCCUCUCGGGCUGCACAGGCUAAGUGAUGUCAGUGAUAAGCCUCUCAGUGAUGUCCUUGAUUAGCCUCUCGGGCUGCACAGGCUAAUCUGCAUCAACACUUUACACAAAAGAAUUUAAACCUGUUAACCCAAACAAAAGCUCAUAUUUUUGUUAGCAAAACAAUGUUUAUCAUUUGUUCAAUUGGGAUAAUGCUAUGUUUUGGCAUAUUAUUACAAGAAUGAGAGGUAUUUUCCACAGCCAGUAGUACGAAUACCAAUUUUAGUACUGUAGAUGGCCAUUAAAAAACAAAUACUUAUUAUUGUAGAGCCAAAAUUCAGAACUUUGAACCCUAGUAAGUGUUUGCAUUUACCUGGACAGGACCUCUCAAUAGGCUCAUUAUCAAUACAUUUGUACUUGAAGCAACUAACAGAUCAACCAAUCAGAUAACGUAUAUUGCAGUUACAUAACCUGAUAAACAAAGACUCUCAGAGUAACAGAAAAAAACGUUUUAUAAGCAGUAUCAUGUAACAAUAUGUCUUAUGCCAUAUGCAGCUAUCUCAAGAUAGCUAUCCUGUCUGCUGUAAGGUCAUGCAAGGUUUUGUGGUCUUGUAAGUGGCCAAUUGGUCAAUGGCACAGAGUCUCUGGAACUUGGUGCUCUCAACAUUAUGGCGUCCCACUCAGAUUUGAUUGAGCCCCAUUCGUCGGAUCUAAGUUUAAACAUCCUUUUUUUGUGUUGCGACUCCAUAUUCUAUUAAUAUAUUUCUUAUCAUGAAAUGAAUGUCAUAAAAUGAAAUACACAACUUUUCUAAAAUGUUAGAUGGUUAUCCAAUUGCACGUAUUUUGGAGCUGUAACUAACUCGCCUACACAAUUACUAAUUCAAUUUUUCAAAAUAUCAAAGCCAUAUGAUAAAAUGGGGUCCAUUUCUAUUUCAAAUACAGAAAUACUUUUGUAAUUUGAAGUUUAAUCAUGUUUUGAUACAAUACCCGCUGCAUUCCAUGUCAUGGGUUGUAUGUUAGACAUAAGAAACUUGAAACUUUGUAGAACUUAAAAUAUCUUUCAUACCCAGUGUAUGUUGAUGACUCUCUGAAUUUAUCAUUUGAAACAUGUUUAGCUUUUAUCAGUGCAUAUAAUUAAAAAUAAUAAGCAGCUUGCAAUUUUGUUUGUGUAUUAUUGAGUUCUCAUUUAUUUAUGAGUCAUAUAUAUUCUGCUUUGUGCAAAAAAAUAUUGAAAUAUUAAACUUGCAUCUAUAUGUCAUAGUAUACUUAUUAGCAAUAGAAGUAAUGUUUUAGUUACCUCCCAUACACCAGUCUCCAGUCUUGUUUUGUCAUAUCUUACCACAACUUGUAUAGGUGAACAAUAUCAACUCUAUAUUGUGGUUGUCUCCCCUGAACUAUCUGUCAAAUUAUUCAUUAUUCAUAUUUGGUACAUACACCAGGCCUAAGUGCAAAAGCUAAUAUGAUGAGGUAUUUCCAGUUUUAAAUUUGGCAAGUCGAAAACUACAAAAAAUAUUUUUCUAAAAGAUGUUGAUACACAAAAUGAUGCAGGGCUGGAAUAAAUGCCACCUUUAAGAGAAAAGAUGGGCCACAAGAAAUUUUUAUUACAAAACACUGUUUUGUUUGCUGUUUUGGUUUGUUCAUUCCAUAAAAAUUUAUAUAUAAGCUUAAAAUGUGUAAACUCCAUCAAGCUGUUUUUGCAUGAAUAUUGUUUUUUCGACCAAAAUCAUUCACCUUACAUUAUCAUGAUUGUGCUUUUCUCAAAAUCACAAACAAAAUUCACAUCCUCAAUUUCUGAUUGAUUAUUGUUUAAGCUGAUGUUAUCACCAUUGUAUUGUAACAAUUAUAUGUAUAGUCUUCUUUACAACCUUGUGAAAUCAUAGGUGUGUUUCUUAAAUGUUAAGCUUCAAUAUUGAAGCUCAUUAUCAACACAUUGGUAAUUUUAAGCAAUUCUUUAAAGCAUUGAUUUCUUUCAUGUAUAUGAUUUUUUCCUUCACAGUGAACAGUAGGGAUUUUUUAUUAGACUUCUUGUUUAUCUUACUGAUGAUGUUGCCAUUAGUUUAUUGCUUUGUAUUAUGUCUGACCUUGACAGUGCUUUUUUCUGAAAUUAUUUCUGGCUUUACAAGUACCUUAGUGAAAUUUAUAACGACCAAGUUAUUUUAGAGCUAAGGUGUUAGGGACAUGUUGAGUCAUAUUUUUUAUCCAAAAAUAAGUGAAAAAUUGUUUGCUAGGUCUAGUUUGAAAAAAUCUGUACAGAAUAGGGAUGGAGGGGGUUUUCCAUCUAUGUAAAUGUCUUUGAUACAUGAAUAAGUUUUUGACUGUAGAAACAAAAUGUAUUUUCAAUUUUUCAAGUUUAAUUUUGUAGAUCUUUUGGUACAAUUUCUUCUGAAUUCUAUUUUAGUUUGUCAUUCAUCAACAUUUUAUAUUUUUUUACUUGUGUGUCUGAAAAAGCACAUGGACCCUUUUUAACAUUUUUUAUUCAGAUACUGAGAAACAAUGUGUCAUUCUUAUUAAAUUAUGUAUGUUUAAAACUUUUGAUUUUAUUAUUAGUCUUACAAGUACAUGUACAUUCACAUUUGAUUUGGUUGCCUCCCUUCUAUUAACUCUAUUUUAUAAAUUUUACAAUUAUCAGCAUUAAAUUACUUCACUGUAAGAUGUUUAAGUUAUUUUAUCCAAUAAUGACCUUGAAUACCAUUUUCUCAAAUGUGUUGAGUAGAAUCAACAAAUUUUGUUUAUAUUAUAUUUGUAUGCAACAUAUUUGUGCACAUCUUAACUUUUGUGUUUACUUGUUUGAACAUGUAAAAUCUUGUUAAUACAAAGGAAAAUGUUGAUUUUUGGUUUCUACAUUAAUGUAUAUACAUAUAAAAAUGAAAGCCCUUGCUUGUAAUCUUCCUUAUAACCCUUUGCAUGCUGGGAAAUUUGUCGUCUGCUAAAAUGUCGUCUGCUGAAUUUCUAAAAAUAGCAUUUUCUUCGAUUUUUUU
This is an RNA transcript of Dreissena polymorpha, 5098 nucleotides long. It is a transcript of the gene named ankyrin repeat, SAM and basic leucine zipper domain-containing protein 1-like, with no coding region annotated. The record is from RefSeq and is a predicted model, not a curated record. The transcript has 13 exons. NCBI's taxonomy places the organism in Eukaryota, Metazoa, Mollusca, Bivalvia, Myida, Dreissenidae.